This 342-nucleotide unclassified non-coding RNA is filed under the name Hevea brasiliensis (rubber tree). The record is from RNAcentral. Lineage: Eukaryota; Viridiplantae; Streptophyta; Magnoliopsida; Malpighiales; Euphorbiaceae.
CUCAUUCCCUAGCCUGGUCUUAACUGCCUAGACUGAACUGUGAAGAUGGUGAAAGUGGCAACGUAUUUUGCGAUGUCAUUUGGAGCCUUUCUAUUCUGGCAAUCAAUGGAUAGAGUCCACGUCUGGAUUGCUCUUCAUCAGGAUGAGAAGAAAGAAAGACUUGAAAAGGAGAUGGAGAUCAGGAGGGUCAGAGAAGAACUAUUGCAGCAAGCUAAACAGAAGGAUUCUUCAGCAUGAACUACUUAUUUGAUCAAAUUUAUAUUUCCCUUGUUUCCCUCAAGUGCGGGUCGCUCUUUGAGCUUCUGUUUACAAAGCACUGAAACUGAAAAUAAUUGAUUUGGC